RNAcentral lists this ribosomal RNA (685 nucleotides) under uncultured Pseudomonadota bacterium. Its description in RNAcentral is "bacterial SSU rRNA". It matches the Rfam family "Bacterial small subunit ribosomal RNA", at positions 64 to 744 of the family's 1533-position model. Lineage: Bacteria; Pseudomonadati; Pseudomonadota. The record is from RNAcentral.
UAACAGAAAGCAGCUUGCUGCUUUGCUGACGAGUGGCGGACGGGUGAGUAAUGUCUGGGAAACUGCCUGAUGGAGGGGGAUAACUACUGGAAACGGUAGCUAAUACCGCAUAAUGUCGCAAGACCAAAGAGGGGGACCUUCGGGCCUCUUGCCAUCGGAUGUGCCCAGAUGGGAUUAGCUAGUAGGUGGGGUAACGGCUCACCUAGGCGACGAUCCCUAGCUGGUCUGAGAGGAUGACCAGCCACACUGGAACUGAGACACGGUCCAGACUCCUACGGGAGGCAGCAGUGGGGAAUAUUGCACAAUGGGCGCAAGCCUGAUGCAGCCAUGCCGCGUGUAUGAAGAAGGCCUUCGGGUUGUAAAGUACUUUCAGCGGGGAGGAAGGGAGUAAAGUUAAUACCUUUGCUCAUUGACGUUACCCGCAGAAGAAGCACCGGCUAACUCCGUGCCAGCAGCCGCGGUAAUACGGAGGGUGCAAGCGUUAAUCGGAAUUACUGGGCGUAAAGCGCACGCAGGCGGUUUGUUAAGUCAGAUGUGAAAUCCCCGGGCUCAACCUGGGAACUGCAUCUGAUACUGGCAAGCUUGAGUCUCGUAGAGGGGGGUAGAAUUCCAGGUGUAGCGGUGAAAUGCGUAGAGAUCUGGAGGAAUACCGGUGGCGAAGGCGGCCCCCUGGACGAAGACUGAC